CGGGACUCUUACGAGGCCUCGUAAUCGGAAUGAGUACACUUUAAAUAUUUUAACGAGGAACAAUUGGAGGGCAAGUCUGGUGCCAGCAGCCGCGGUAAUUCCAGCUCCAAUAGCGUAUACUAAAUUUGUUGCGGUUAAAAAGCUCGUAGUUGCAUUUGUGCGCCGCACUGCCGGUGCACCGCAUCCGCGGUGAUACUGGCAUGUUUGCGGAGCAUAUCGUCGGUGAGCGGCCGGUAACACGGCCGUUCAAUAUCAAAAUCCUAUCGCGGUGCUCUUCAGUGAGUGUCGAGGUGGGCCGACAACUUUACUUUGAACAAAUUAGAGUGCUCAAAGCGGGCUCAAAUGCUGCUUGAAUAUUUCGUGCAUGGAAUAAUAGAAUAUGAUCUCGGUUCUAUUUUGUUGGUUUUCAGAACUCCGAGGUAAUGAUUAAUAGGGAUAACUGGGGGCAUUCGUAUUGCGACGUUAGAGGUGAAAUUCUUGGAUCGUCGCAAGACGAACAUCAGCGAAAGCAUUUGCCAAAGGUGUUUUCAUCAAUCAAGAACGAAAGUUAGAGGUUCGAAGGCGAUUAGAUACCGCCCUAGUUCUAACCGUAAAUAUGUCAUCUAGCGAUCCGCCGACGUUAUAACAAUGGCUCGGCGGGCAGCUUCCGGGAAACCAAAGAUUUUGGACUCCGGGGGGAGUAUGGUUGCAAAGCUGAAACUUAAAGGAA
This 709-nucleotide ribosomal RNA is filed under the name Gibbovalva quadrifasciata. RNAcentral describes it as "SSU rRNA". It matches the Rfam family "Eukaryotic small subunit ribosomal RNA", at positions 486 to 1152 of the family's 1831-position model. Lineage: Eukaryota; Metazoa; Arthropoda; Insecta; Lepidoptera; Gracillariidae. The record is from RNAcentral.